This 800-nucleotide ribosomal RNA is filed under the name uncultured bacterium. Its description in RNAcentral is "bacterial SSU rRNA". It matches the Rfam family "Bacterial small subunit ribosomal RNA", at positions 8 to 808 of the family's 1533-position model. The record is from RNAcentral.
AGAGUUUGAUCCUGGCUCAGGAUGAACGCUGGCGGCGUGCUUAACACAUGCAAGUCGAGCGAAGCAGUUAAGUUGAUUUCUUCGGAUUGAUUCUUGACUGACUGAGCGGCGGACGGGUGAGUAACGCGUGGGUGACCUGCCCCAUACCGGGGGAUAACAGCUGGAAACGGCUGCUAAUACCGCAUAAGCGCACAGAGCUGCAUGGCUCGGUGUGAAAAACUCCGGUGGUAUGGGAUGGGCCCGCGUCUGAUUAGGCAGUUGGCGGGGUAACGGCCCACCAAACCGACGAUCAGUAGCCGGCCUGAGAGGGCGACCGGCCACAUUGGGACUGAGACACGGCCCAAACUCCUACGGGAGGCAGCAGUGGGGAAUAUUGCACAAUGGGGGAAACCCUGAUGCAGCGACGCCGCGUGAGCGAUGAAAUAUUUCGGUAUGUAAAGCUCUAUCAGCAGGGAAGAUAAUGACGGUACCUGACUAAGAAGCACCGGCUAAAUACGUGCCAGCAGCCGCGGUAAUACGUAUGGUGCAAGCGUUAUCCGGAUUUACUGGGUGUAAAGGGAGCGCAGGCGGUGCGGCAAGUCUGAUGUGAAAUCCCGGGGCUCAACCCCGGUACUGCAUUGGAAACUGUCGUACUAGAGUGUCGGAGGGGUAAGCGGAAUUCCUAGUGUAGCGGUGAAAUGCGUAGAUAUUAGGAGGAACACCAGUGGCGAAGGCGGCUUACUGGACGAUAACUGACGCUGAGGCUCGAAAGCGUGGGGAGCAAACAGAAUUAGAUACCCUGGUAGUCCACGCCGUAAACG